UAAGCAUCAUUUAUAUAGCCUUUUCCUAUUACUUCUGCGGCAUUUACUUGUAUUUUGAUAACAAAAUCUUGUCAAUUCUUGAUGCUAUGAUGAUUAAUAUGCCCAAUUGUGCAAUUUUACAUGCUCUCGAAAUAUUGUGCAGAUCGGUGCGAAAAGGCACUUAUUCUUCUCAUUUUGGACGAAUUGCACAUGUACCGAUCAAAUGCACCGAAGGACUUGAACAUGAAGAAGUGGAGAAAACCAGGGAUACUAUGAAAAAGAAAAGGAACAUCUUGUGAAGAAAGAAAAGAAGAUGAAGGGGCGAGCUGCAAAUUGCCAGAUCAGAUCGAGAGAAAAGGGGAGCCACGGGCUCCAUCUCCGGCAGGCCUGGUUUCUAUCCCUAAUCCCCAAAGCUCCUGCUCCACCUCCGGCCACCGCCGCGGCCAGGCCGGUGUGGCGGUGCGCCAUCGAUCCGCCACCACACGCCGCACGAGCUCCGGUCUGCUAUCUGCUGCUCAUCACCGACGCCGGCAUCAGCGACGAAGACUUGGGCGACAAUGACCUGAAGCUGAUCUCCAUCCUCUACGUCCUCUGCUGCUGCUGCUGCUAUUUCUUGGUGACGAAUUUCACUCUAUCCCUGUCUUCAUCUCUGCUUAUCUUCUCUCUGCCAAGUGAGUUGUCUAGUUGUAUUUCAGAUUGUGUGGUCUGUACCUUUCAAACCGUGUGUGAAAUUGAUACACAUGCAACCUGUUUGGUGAUAUGCCCCUGUGAUGUACUGUUACGUAUACUACUGAUUGUUCAUCUCAUGAGAUUGUGCAAUUGUUAGUCACUUUCAGUACUACUGUUUGUAAACGUGAUUAAUAUAUGUGAACUGCGUUUGGUGUGUACCUUGUGAAA
This is a long non-coding RNA of Lolium perenne, 876 nucleotides long. RefSeq lists it as uncharacterized. NCBI's taxonomy places the organism in Eukaryota, Viridiplantae, Streptophyta, Magnoliopsida, Poales, Poaceae. The record is from RefSeq and is a predicted model, not a curated record.